AGUGAACGCUGGCGGUAGGCCUAACACAUGCAAGUCGAACGGCAGCACAGUAAGAGCUUGCUCUUACGGGUGGCGAGUGGCGGACGGGUGCUGGAUACAUCGGAGUCUGCUGUUUCGUGGGGGCUAACGUAGGGAAAAAUACGCUAAUAGCGCAUACGACGUACGUGUGAAAGCAUCGGAUCUUCCGCUCUCACGUGAUCGUAGGUGCCGAGGUCGGAUUAGCUAGUUGGCGGGGUAAAGGCCCACCAAGGCGACGAUCCGUAGCUGGUCUGAGAGGAUGAUCAGCCACACUGGAACUGAGACACGGUCCAGACUCCUACGGGAGGCAGCAGUGGGGAAUAUUGGACAAUGGGCGAAAGCCUGAUCCAGCCAUGCCGCGUGGGUGAAGAAGGCCUUCGGGUUGUAAAGCCCUUUUGUUGGGAAAGAAAAGCAGCAGGUUAAUACCCCGCUGUUCUGACGUUACCCAAAGAAUAAGCACCGGCUAACUUCGUG
This 492-nucleotide ribosomal RNA is filed under the name uncultured bacterium. Its description in RNAcentral is "partial 16S ribosomal RNA". It matches the Rfam family "Bacterial small subunit ribosomal RNA", at positions 29 to 507 of the family's 1533-position model. The record is from RNAcentral.